AGUGGCGCACGGGUGAGUAACGCGUGGGAAUCGGCCUAUCAGUGGGGAAUAACGACGGGAAACUGUCGCUAAUACCGCAUACGCCCUUCGGGGGAAAGAUUUAUCGCUGAUAGAUGAGCCCGCGUCCGAUUAGCUAGUUGGUGAGGUAAUGGCUCACCAAGGCUACGAUCGGUAGCUGGUCUGAGAGGAUGAUCAGCCACACUGGGACUGAGACACGGCCCAGACUCCUACGGGAAGCAGCAGUGGGGAAUAUUGGACAAUGGGCGAAAGCCUGAUCCAGCAAUGCCGCGUGAGUGAUGAAGGCCUUAGGGUUGUAAAGCUCUUUCGGGUGGGACGAUGAUGACGGUACCACCAGAAGAAGCCCCGGCUAACUUCGUGCCAGCAGCCGCGGUAAUACGAAGGGGGCUAGCGUUGUUCGGAAUUACUGGGCGUAAAGCGCACGCAGGCGGCGCGUUAAAUUAGAAGUGAAAGCCCCGGGCUUAACCUGGGAAUUGCUUUUAA
Molecule: ribosomal RNA, 501 nt
Filed under: uncultured bacterium
Lineage: Bacteria
Description: bacterial SSU rRNA
Rfam family: Bacterial small subunit ribosomal RNA
Source: RNAcentral